This 360-nucleotide long non-coding RNA is filed under the name Nicotiana benthamiana. RNAcentral describes it as "long non-coding RNA (NBEN_LNC027828)". The record is from RNAcentral. Lineage: Eukaryota; Viridiplantae; Streptophyta; Magnoliopsida; Solanales; Solanaceae.
CAAGUUCGCCGUCUCUGACCAUAUAGCGUCCGCUUUCCCAGAACUUCUCCAAGCUCCGCCCUCAGCUAACCUCCGCUCCAACUCCUGUGCUUUCUCCUUAGUCAAAAUAUCCCAUCUAAUCCGCGGUUGUCCCCGAGCACCCCUCCUCUUCCUCUUCACCCAGAGACCGACAUCCAUCACAAGGAGUCUAUGAAGAGUCGAACGGGACUCUCCCGGAAUAACCUUGCAGUCCUUGCACAUACCCCUAUCGCUCCUUCUGAGGAGGAGUUAAUCAAUUUGAGUCCUCGCCGCCGAACUCUUGAAGGUGACCAAAUGCUCCUCCCUCUUCUGAAAUGUCGAGUUCGCAAUCAAAAUCUCNNN